RNAcentral lists this ribosomal RNA (642 nucleotides) under uncultured bacterium. RNAcentral's name for it is "bacterial SSU rRNA". It matches the Rfam family "Bacterial small subunit ribosomal RNA", at positions 534 to 1178 of the family's 1533-position model. The record is from RNAcentral.
GCGAGCGUUGUCCGGAAUUAUUGGGCGUAAAGAGCUUGUAGGCGGUUUGUCGCGUCUGCUGUGAAAGCGCCGGGGCUUAACUCCGUGUAUUGCAGUGGGUACGGGCAGACUAGAGUGCAGUAGGGGAGACUGGAAUUCCUGGUGUAGCGGUGGAAUGCGCAGAUAUCAGGAGGAACACCGAUGGCGAAGGCAGGUCUCUGGGCUGUAACUGACGCUGAGAAGCAAAAGCAUGGGGAGCGCACAGGUUUAGAUACCCUGGUAGUCCAUGCCGUAAACGUUGGGCACUAGGUGUGGGGGACAUUCCACGUUUUCCGCGCCGUAGCUAACGCAUUAAGUGUCCCGCCUGGGGAGUACGGCCGCAAGUACAAACUCAAAGAAAUUGACGGGGGCCCGCACAAGCGGCGGAGCAUGCGAAUUAAUUCGAUGCAACGCGAAGAACCUUACCAAGGCUUGACAUAUACUGGACGCAUCAGAGAUGGUGUUCCCUUCGGGGCUGGUAUAAAGGUGGUGCAUGGUUGUCGUCAACUCGUGUCGUGAAAUGUUGGGUUAAGUCCCGCAACGAGCGAACCCUCGUUCUAUGUUGCCAGAACGUWAUGUGGGACUCACAGGAGACUGCCGGGGUCAACUCGGAGGAAGGUGGGG